UACAGAGGGGGCAAGCGUUAUUCGGAAUUAUUGGGCGUAAAGGGCGCGUAGGCGGCUUGGCAAGUGGAUGGUGAAAUCCCUCGGCUUAACCGAGGAACUGCCGUCCAAACUGCUUCGCUUGAGACCGGGAGAGGUGAGUGGAAUUCCCAGUGUAGCGGUGAAAUGCGUAGAUAUUGGGAGGAACACCAGUGGCGAAGGCGGCUCACUGGACCGGUACUGACGCUGAGGCGCGAAAGCGUGGGGAGCGAGCAGG
This 253-nucleotide ribosomal RNA is filed under the name uncultured bacterium. RNAcentral's name for it is "partial 16S ribosomal RNA". It matches the Rfam family "Bacterial small subunit ribosomal RNA", at positions 524 to 776 of the family's 1533-position model. The record is from RNAcentral.